UACGACUUUUGCUUCUUAUGUUCGCUACUUUCUCCCUCUGUUAUGUUUCAUGAAACCCUAAUAAAUGCCGUCCACAUGAAUACCCCAAAAUAUUGAAGACAACACAAUCUUUCAACGAAUACCUUUCUAAUAUCCGAUUCCACAAUUGAUCGCAGACUGAAACCCUAAAUGUCGUCCACAUGAAUACCCCAAAAUAUUGAAGGCAACACAAUCUUCCAAGGAGUACCUUUCUAAUAUCUGAUCCCACAAUUGAUCGCAGCAUUCCAGGUUUUGAUAGCUCCAAACGAUUCAAGGUUGCUCGAAUGAGAUUGACUAUUUAAUUCCUUUUAUGUUCCCAUGGCUUACAUCUGGCAUUUAUGUGAAUUAAAUUCACAAGUUUCCUCUAAUUCGAUGGUGAUGAAUGAUGUUUGUCAAACUGCACUUUAUGUGGCAAGAGACGAUGGAUAUAGUAAUGUUGUCCAUGCAAUUGAGAUUGAUUUCGAUAUCUCGAAGAACCGGCCAGAUCCUAUAACAUACGACGCUCAAGAGGACUGGUUGUCUAACUUAAUGACAAUUCUUACCGUUCGCUUCAAUAGAUGACCUGAUCCAACAGUUUGAAGACAUGGGUUCACACGGGACAAAGAUAAUCAUAUACAACUUAUGGCUCAAUGACGAAGGCCUUCUUCAUACCACCUUCUUCAUUCGUUAAGGGAAUACUCUUCUAUGUUGUACCUUAGAAAGUUCAACAACUUCAAAAUCAUCUUGAGGGGGAAGCCUGUAGAGCAGUAUACUAUAGCAUAUGGCUUAAGAAACCCGCAAGUAACCCUCUACAGGCCACACGUUUCAUCUUUGUAAGGGGAAGAUAGGUGCUUCUCUCCUACGGCAUACAAGAUUGGCGGCAGCCCGCCAUAUUUAACGUAUAAAAAAUAUAUAUGUUAAAUAUGGCGGGCUCCCACCAAUAACCUGUGUCUUGUAUGCCCUAUAGAGAGAAGCACUCAUCUUCCUUCUACAAAACAAAGAAAAAUUAUAAAAAACAUUAUCAUGAGAUUAACAAAGAAACAAAUCGUUGUAGUUAUUGUUACAAAUUUAUAAUGUUUAUUUUUUAUCAA
Long non-coding RNA from Helianthus annuus (common sunflower), 1088 nucleotides. RefSeq lists it as uncharacterized. Lineage: Eukaryota; Viridiplantae; Streptophyta; Magnoliopsida; Asterales; Asteraceae. The record is from RefSeq and is a predicted model, not a curated record. The transcript has 7 exons.